RNAcentral lists this long non-coding RNA (814 nucleotides) under Musa acuminata (dwarf banana). Its description in RNAcentral is "long non-coding RNA (MACU_LNC009087)". Lineage: Eukaryota; Viridiplantae; Streptophyta; Magnoliopsida; Zingiberales; Musaceae. The record is from RNAcentral.
UAUGCUGAUGACCAAGGUUUUCAUCCGAUGCAAAAUUCGAUGCAUGCACGGAAGACCCGCCUCUGCGAUACCAUGGCCUUCACUCCUUGAAUCCAUAGCCCUUCUUGCCGUCAUGUUGUUCACUGAAGCGGAGCUUCCAGUAGCUCCCGAUCAUACCUCCAUAUGAUCUAGUCCCUCCCGGGACUCAGUCGUGUGUAUCGCAUUGCCACGAACUGUUCCACCACGAUCCGCUGCACCAUGUCGCCUCCUAGUGACAUCUCCAUUGCAUUUUGAUCCUUGUGGAAUAAACUCGAAUUGUGAACCCUCCAUGUGUGGCCUCUGCCAAUACAUCGCAGGGUCUCCUCCACCUUCGAUUUUGUUCGCUCCUUUGGCAAUCGACCUUCAUCCACCCACUCUUGGGUCACAUCUAGAUGAAGCACCGCUCUAGGACAAUCCGUCGCCUAGUAGCUCCCGAAGUCCACCGACUUCACUAUAAUUUGUGCACCAUUGUCUGGAUCCUGGGCCUCUGCCCCAACCAGCACAAUCUCCGCUGCGCACUACUUCCUUCAUGGCAACUUGAAUGGCAACACUGUGGCAUAUUCUUCAAGAGUACCCGCCUCUGCGUCCUCUUGCCCCAUGCUAAGGCCUUUUGAACCCAACUUCGCCUCCGUAAAUUGAGUCGCCUUAGUUCCUCCAUCAAAUGCUCCUCCGAGAUAAGGUGCAUGUGCCCAGAAGCUCCCUUCGUCUUUGGCACCAUGCAAGAUGAGUCCGCUCCGUUAGAAAGAAGGACCCAUGGAACAACAUGAUCCUACUCUUGCCUCUGCAAGAGUUCAUG